RNAcentral lists this transfer RNA (95 nucleotides) under Musca domestica (house fly). It matches the Rfam family "tRNA". From Rfam's summary of the family: Transfer RNA (tRNA) molecules are approximately 80 nucleotides in length. Their secondary structure includes four short double-helical elements and three loops (D, anti-codon, and T loops). Lineage: Eukaryota; Metazoa; Arthropoda; Insecta; Diptera; Muscidae. The record is from Rfam by way of RNAcentral.
CCUUCGAUAGCUCAGUUGGUAGAGCGGUGGACUGUAGACGAAAUUUCAAGGGAAUGGAAAUCCAUAGGUCGCUGGUUCAAAUCCGGCUCGAAGGA